RNAcentral lists this ribosomal RNA (496 nucleotides) under uncultured bacterium. RNAcentral's name for it is "partial 16S ribosomal RNA". It matches the Rfam family "Bacterial small subunit ribosomal RNA", at positions 28 to 506 of the family's 1533-position model. The record is from RNAcentral.
GAUGAACGCUGGCGGCGUGCCUAAUACAUGCAAGUCGAGCGAACGGACGAGAAGCUUGCUUCUCUGAUGUUAGCGGCGGACGGGUGAGUAACACGUGGAUAACCUACCUAUAAGACUGGGAUAACUUCGGGAAACCGUAGCUAAUACCGGAUAAUAUUUUGAACCGCAUGGUUCAAAAGUGAAAGACGGUCUUGCUGUCACUUAUAGAUGGAUCCGCGCUGCAUUAGCUAGUUGGUAAGGUAACGGCUUACCAAGGCAACGAUGCAUAGCCGACCUGAGAGGGUGAUCGGCCACACUGGAACUGAGACACGGUCCAGACUCCUACGGGAGGCAGCAGUAGGGAAUCUUCCGCAAUGGGCGAAAGCCUGACGGAGCAACGCCGCGUGAGUGAUGAAGGUCUUCGGAUCGUAAAACUCUGUUAUUAGGGAAGAACAUAUGUGUAAGUAACUGUGCACAUCUUGACGGUACCUAAUCAGAAAGCCGCGGCUAACUACGU